RNAcentral lists this ribosomal RNA (253 nucleotides) under uncultured bacterium. Its description in RNAcentral is "partial 16S ribosomal RNA". It matches the Rfam family "Bacterial small subunit ribosomal RNA", at positions 524 to 776 of the family's 1533-position model. The record is from RNAcentral.
UACGUAGGGUGCAAGCGUUGUCCGGAAUUAUUGGGCGUAAAGAGCUCGUAGGCGGUCUGUCGCGUCUGCUGUGAAAACUCAGGGCUUAACCCUGAGCUUGCAGUGGGUACGGGCAGACUAGAGUGCGGUAGGGGAGACUGGAAUUCCUGGUGUAGCGGUGAAAUGCGCAGAUAUCAGGAGGAACACCGGUGGCGAAGGCGGGUCUCUGGGCCGUAACUGACGCUGAGGAGCGACAGCAUGGGGAGCGAACAGG